This 253-nucleotide unclassified non-coding RNA is filed under the name uncultured Carnobacteriaceae bacterium. RNAcentral's name for it is "contains 16S-23S intergenic spacer region". It matches the Rfam family "Bacterial small subunit ribosomal RNA", at positions 524 to 776 of the family's 1533-position model. The record is from RNAcentral. Lineage: Bacteria; Bacillati; Bacillota; Bacilli; Lactobacillales; Carnobacteriaceae.
UACGUAGGUGACAAGCGUUGUCCGGAUUUAUUGGGCGUAAAGCGAGCGCAGGCGGUCUUUUAAGUAUGACGUGAAAGCCCACGGCUCAACCGUGGAGGGUCAUUGGAAACUGGAAGACUUGAAUGUAGAAGAGGUAAGUGGAAUUCCGUGUGUGGCGGUGAAAUGCGUAGAUAUAUGGAGGAACACCAGUGGCGAAGGGGACUUUCUGGUCUGUAAUUGACGCUGAGGCUCGAAAGCGUGGUGAGCAAACAGG